Molecule: ribosomal RNA, 492 nt
Filed under: uncultured bacterium
Lineage: Bacteria
Description: partial 16S ribosomal RNA
Rfam family: Bacterial small subunit ribosomal RNA
Source: RNAcentral
AGUGAAUGCUGGCGGUAGGCCUAACACAUGCAAGUCGAACGGCAGCACAGUAAGAGCUUGCUCUUACGGGUGGCGAGUGGCGGACGGGUGAGGAAUACAUCGGAAUCUACUUUUUCGUGGGGGAUAACGUAGGGAAACUUACGCUAAUACCGCAUACGACCUACGGGUGAAAGCAGGGGAUCUUCGGACCUUGCGCGAUUGAAUGAGCCGAUGUCGGAUUAGCUAGUUGGCGGGGUAAAGGCCCACCAAGGCGACGAUCCGUAGCUGGUCUGAGAGGAUGAUCAGGCACACUGGAACUGAGACACGGUCCAGACUCCUACGGGAGGCAGCAGUGGGGAAUAUUGGACAAUGGGCGCAAGCCUGAUCCAGCCAUACCGCGUGGGUGAAGAAGGCCUUCGGGUUGUAAAGCCCUUUUGUUGGGAAAGAAAAGCAGCAGGUUAAUACCCCGCUGUUCUGACGGUACCCAAAGAAUAAGCACCGGCUAACUUCGUG